GCACAAGCGGUGGAGCAUGUGGUUAAUUCGAUGCAACGCGAAGAACCUUACCUGGGCUUGACAUCCCUGGAAUCCCCUGGAAACAGGGGAGUGCCCUUCGGGGAGCCAGGAGACAGGUGCUGCAUGGCUGUCGUCAGCUCGUGUCGUGAGAUGUUGGGUUAAGUCCCGCAACGAGCGCAACCCUUGUCUUUAAUUGCCAUCAUUCAGUUGGGCACUUUAAAGAGACUGCCGGUGUUAAACCGGAGGAAGGUGGGGAUGACGUCAAGUCCUCAUGGCCUUUAUGCCCAGGGCUACACACGUGCUACAAUGGGUGGUACAAAGAGAUGCAAUCUCGCAAGAGCAAGCAAACCUCAAAAAGCCAUCCUCAGUUCGGAUUGGAGUCUGCAACUCGACUCCAUGAAGUCGGAAUCGCUAGUAACCGCGAAUCAGCAGGUCGCGGUGAAUACGUUCCCGGGCCUU
This 459-nucleotide ribosomal RNA is filed under the name uncultured Syntrophus sp. RNAcentral's name for it is "bacterial SSU rRNA". It matches the Rfam family "Bacterial small subunit ribosomal RNA", at positions 923 to 1382 of the family's 1533-position model. The record is from RNAcentral. Lineage: Bacteria; Pseudomonadati; Thermodesulfobacteriota; Syntrophia; Syntrophales; Syntrophaceae.